RNAcentral lists this ribosomal RNA (609 nucleotides) under uncultured bacterium. Its description in RNAcentral is "bacterial SSU rRNA". The stretch from base 1 to 536 matches the Rfam family "Bacterial small subunit ribosomal RNA", at positions 338 to 873 of the family's 1533-position model. The record is from RNAcentral.
CCUACGGGAGGCAGCAGUAAGGAAUAUUGGUCAAUGGGCGCAAGCCUGAACCAGCCAUGCCGCGUGCAGGAAGACGGCCCUACGGGUUGUAAACUGCUUUUGUACCGGAAUAAACCCCCGAUCGUGAUCGGGGCUGAAUGUACGGUAAGAAUAAGGAUCGGCUAACUCCGUGCCAGCAGCCGCGGUAAUACGGAGGAUCCAAGCGUUAUCCGGAUUUAUUGGGUUUAAAGGGUGCGUAGGCGGCCUGUUAAGUCAGGGGUGAAAGACGGUAGCUUAACUAUCGCAGUGCCUUUGAUACUGACGGGCUUGAAUGUACUUGAGGUAGGCGGAAUGUGACAAGUAGCGGUGAAAUGCAUAGAUAUGUCACAGAACACCAAUUGCGAAGGCAGCUUACUAAAGUAUGAUUGACGCUGAGGCACGAAAGCGUGGGGAUCAAACAGGAUUAGAUACCCUGGUAGUCCACGCCCUAAACCGAUGAAUACUCGAUGUUGGCGAUAUACGGCCAGCGUCUAAGCGAAAGCGUUAAGUAUUCCACUGGAGUACGCCGCGAGGUAGAACGACAANAGAGUAGACGCGUGAGAGNGCGACGGACGACGACGAGGGAGGAGG